AACCAAAUGAAAUUAAGUUAAUUUGUAAAGUUCUAAAGGGUCUUCUUGUCUUUUGAUUU
This 59-nucleotide transfer RNA is filed under the name Bemisia tabaci. RNAcentral's name for it is "tRNA-Tyr". The record is from RNAcentral. Lineage: Eukaryota; Metazoa; Arthropoda; Insecta; Hemiptera; Aleyrodidae.